RNAcentral lists this unclassified non-coding RNA (173 nucleotides) under rhizosphere metagenome. RNAcentral describes it as "partial ribosomal RNA internal transcribed spacer region". The record is from RNAcentral.
UAGAUGGUGUUGUAGCUUGUGCUAUAGCCCUAAUCAUACCCCAUGUCUUUUGCGUACUUCUUGUUUCCUCGGCGGGUUACUCCGCCGGCUGGACAACUUAUAACCCUUUGUAUUUGCACUCAGCGUCUGAAAAUAUAAUAAUUACAACUUUCAACAACGGAUCUCUUGGUUCU